GUACCUAUGUCUGAGUGGCUUAAAGACUUCGCCUUGAAAGCGAAUGUGGUUCCGACCACCAUGGGUUCGAAUCCUGUUGGGUACA
This 85-nucleotide transfer RNA is filed under the name Mrakia frigida. RNAcentral describes it as "tRNA-Ser (TGA) (tRNA-Ser-TGA-2-1)". It matches the Rfam family "tRNA". Rfam says of the family: Transfer RNA (tRNA) molecules are approximately 80 nucleotides in length. Their secondary structure includes four short double-helical elements and three loops (D, anti-codon, and T loops). Further hydrogen bonds mediate the characteristic L-shaped molecular structure. tRNAs have two regions of fundamental functional importance: the anti-codon, which is responsible for specific mRNA codon recognition, and the 3' end, to which the tRNAs corresponding amino acid is attached (by aminoacyl-tRNA synthetases). tRNAs cope with the degeneracy of the genetic code in two manners: having more than one tRNA (with a specific anti-codon) for a particular amino acid; and 'wobble' base-pairing, i.e. permitting non-standard base-pairing at the 3rd anti-codon position. The record is from RNAcentral. Lineage: Eukaryota; Fungi; Basidiomycota; Tremellomycetes; Cystofilobasidiales; Mrakiaceae.